UCCUACGGGAGGCAGCAGUGAGGAAUAUUGCGCAAUGGGGGAAAUCCUGACGCAGCAACGCCGUGUGAGUGAUGAAGGCCCUCGGGUCGUAAAGCUCUGUUAGGAGGGAAGAAAAGUUUGUGGUAAAUAGCCACGAAUCUUGACGGUACCUCCAGAGGAAGCACCGGCCAACUCCGUGCCAGCAGCCGCGGUAAUA
Molecule: ribosomal RNA, 196 nt
Filed under: uncultured bacterium
Lineage: Bacteria
Description: partial 16S ribosomal RNA
Rfam family: Bacterial small subunit ribosomal RNA
Source: RNAcentral